This 459-nucleotide ribosomal RNA is filed under the name uncultured bacterium. RNAcentral describes it as "partial 16S ribosomal RNA". It matches the Rfam family "Bacterial small subunit ribosomal RNA", at positions 339 to 795 of the family's 1533-position model. The record is from RNAcentral.
CUACGGGCGGCUGCAGUGAGGAAUAUUGGUCAAUGGGCGAAAGCCUGAACCAGCCAAUCCGCGUGCAGGAUGACUGCCCUAUGGGUUGUAAACUGCUUUUAUACAGGAAGAACUUCCCUGACGUGUCGGGGCGUGGCUGUACUGUAAGAAUAAGCAUCGGCUUACUCCGUGCCAGCAGCCGCGGUAAUACGGAGGAUGCAAGCGUUAUCCGGAUUUAUUAGGUCUAAAGGGUGCGUAGGCGGAUGAUUAAGUCAGUGGUGAAAUCCUACAGCUUAACUGUAGAACUGCCAUUGAUACUGGUUAUCUUGAGUUUAGUUGAGGUAGGCGGAAUGUGUGGUGUAGCGGUGAAAUGCUUAGAUAUCACACAGAACACCGAUUGCGAAGGCAGCUUACUAAGCUACAACUGACGCUGAGGCACGAAAGCGUGGGGAGCGAACAGGAUUAGAUACCCCCGUAGUC